CAAGCAGGGGGGCAACUCUGCCAUCUAUCUCUCCAGCCAAAUGAGCUCACAAAGCAGUACUGACAUACAGAAAAGUACGUUAAAAUAUUACUGAAUUACAAAUAUGUGGAAAAAGACCAACUAUUUGUGUUUGGGAAUAUUAGCACAUCCUGGAAGAUAGGUUGGGACCUGGGUUUUUAGGUAUGUAUAGGAGAAAAGGAGAAAUCUGAGCAAGGUUUUCUACAGAAUAUCCAAAAACAUGAAAAUAUAAAGAAGCAGGCUUUUCUGCUAAGAGUUUUCCUUUCUCCUGAUUUUUUUUUUCUCUCAGUCUGGAUAGAUUUGGACCUGUGUAUAAUAAGCUACAUGCAGAGGUAAAGCUUCUAUUUGCAUACUAUCUUACUUUCAGUUUGUAUGCCUUUGAUUUGUAUGUUUUAAGGGAAUGGAUUAUGAAAGGGAAUACUUUUACUCAUUUAGGUUUCUAAAUUAGACAUUGUUGAGAGUUAAGAAAACCACUAGUGUCUUAAGGAACAAGAAACCCAAAAAUCUAAACCUGAAGUCAUCCUCAGGAGAUGUCCUCCUUCACAGGGAUACAGCCUUCUGCUGCUCUUAUCUCCUACCCACACUCUGGCCUACAAGGACCUUCUUCCUUCUCUGCACAUUUAAUCUCUCAGGGCUAUAAAAUAGCAUUUCCCCUUAGAGUAUGAGGAAGGGGCUAUAGCAAACUCCCAAGUACAGUCUUCUCAGCUGUUGGCAAUCCAAGAAGACCUUCUGUGGUUUCUUGGAAUUGCUGCCAUGCAUUUACUGUAGGAAAACACCAGGGACACAUUUGCAAGGGAAUGUGUCAGACUAACUCUGGCAGCCAAACCUGCAAAUCCCGUAAGUUGCAUUUGGCAAUGGCUGGCUAAAUAGUGCUUUCCAAUGAAAGUGCAAGAAACCUGACAACAGACAGUGAAGCAACAGCUCACCAGUAAGAGGAAUGUAUUCCUAUCCCUCCUCAAGCAAUGAAGCAGGACGGUUUGUGUUACACCAUCUUCAGUAGCUGUCUGCUGGCCAGAGGGAUCUGAUAGCCAUGGUUACAGUGCUCCACUUCACAGAUGUAUGGAACUUGGGAACAGAAGGAGGAACAGAAAAGCAGAUUAUCGGACAAAUGUACAUUUAAGCACCUGGCUCAGAUAAACCUAGGAGCAGAUGGAGCAAGGAUCUACGUGGUAUUCUACAUCAGGCUCCACAAAAUUUGUGACCGAAGUUGGUCUUAUGCCAGCCUACAAUUAUGCAGGUAGAGCAAGAAGACAAAGGCUUACAUAUAUCCAUCCAGCAUAUUUCCAUCACCCUUCGCAGCCCUGCAACUCUGUUCACAGAUGUUAAACACCACAGCUCUUAUCACAAGUGUUAAAACAUAUGGUAUAUUGGGAGAAAGAAUGAACAAUUUGAAAGAAAUCCCAGCUGUUGCAUAGGAAGAUUAUUUAGCUCACUCCAGACUCCUUAUUCUACUGCAAAGAUAAAAGUGACCCAAACAACCACUGGAAUGGCCACUGGAGACUGGUAAUUUGGGAGGAUCUUAUAUCAUUACAAGCAUCCAAGAGAGCCUCUGAUUUCAUGACAGUGAAUUUCAAACAACACGUGAACCAUGAAAUGGUUCCACAUCUUCUUGUCAGGCCCAGCAAAAAAGGCCUGGUCACUUGAUUUAACUUCAGGCCUUGAGAUCUGGAGGUCAUUGGUGAAGAACAGGUCAUAGAUAAGAUAAGGUGACAUUCAGUGACGUUGCUUCAUUUAGAAUAGAAAAUGUAAAGCUAGUACUAAAAAAAAAUAAAAAUAGGAGCUGGGUAAGGAAUGCUAACUCAGGACGUAAGCUGUGUUAAAUGUUCAGUUUGGCAAAGGUCCUGGACAUGCCGUUGCUGCCAUGAUUUAUGUCAAAUCAUAUAUUGAAGGCAAGAGGAUGAAGUUUAACUUGGCUGUCUGUAUAGAACAGUCAGGAACAUCUUGUUCAAACAAGCAAGAUAGACUUUAACGUGUACUAAAAGCAUCAUCAUAGCUCUCUUGACUUGGGCCACUAAAACUCUUGUCUACAAGUGAAUUUUGUUAAGAAUCUUGAAAUGGAAGCAAACUCUCAGGUCAUCAGAUCCUCUUCCAGCAUCCAGGAGGAAUCAUGGUAGGUAAUCUCUCAAAGAUGUGUUGAUCUCCACCUUACACCCUAUAGUUUUCUUGCCUUUGCCAUUCCCUAAGAAAAAUUGUUUCUGAGCCUUUAACUUGUGAUGGCUUACAAACUGUAUCUGAUUUUCAGAUUAAGAAAAAGGAAAAAGAAAAGCAAACGCCUUUGCAAAAGCUGUUGAUUAUUCCACCCUCCUCAUGUUGACUUUCUGGGUGUAGAUGGUGUGUGCACCAAAAUAUGCAAAUUGGCUUUAUGUCCUUUACCUUAAAAAAAGCUCUGUCAGCACCAGAUGUUUUUGGUUCUCAAGAAACAUUUGUAUUUACAGUCAUAAGGAUUAUGGUUGUAUGUGGGAAUUACAAGAACUAGAAAAAUAGAAUGCAUAAAAUAAGAGGAUUGGUAUGCAGUCACGUGGAUGUAUUACUAAUGAAUCUAAUGCUUUACUGUAAGCAAAAGACUAAAUGUUUGUUUUUUAUUUAUUUAUUUAUUUAUUUAUUUUUAUUUUGGCCUCACUAAAGCUCUAUUGACUUGAAUUAAUUUUGUCCUGGCUUAGCCUAAAUAAAAACACAAGUGUGACCAGUAACAUCUGCAAUAAAAAUAUAACAUCAUUUCAAGUGGACCUUAAGGGAAAAUCAAUCAGCAGUAUUUAUUAUUUUCUCCCCGCAUGAAUUUGCUAUGCUAAAAUUGAUGCAAAGUAAUCCACAAUAAGAUGUUCCAUAACUAAUUAUAUAAAUAUAUUGAGAGAAUGCCAUUAGUAAUGUGACUUCAUUAGACCCUGGUGCAAGCAGAAGGAAAGAAAAAAAAAUCUAGUAGGAAAUCAGAAAUUAUAUCUAAAAGAAUGAAAAAGUAUUUAAGAAUAUUUUAGUGUAUCUAUAAUGAUUGUAAAUAAAAUUCCCAUCACUCUAAACAUUAUGAUAUUAAAUGAAAUGGAAGGUCUUCAAGUGCUUUAUAUUCAGGACUGAUUUUAAAAGAUUUUUUUCCUCCAUGUUUUCCUUAAAUCCAAAACAAAUCUCCAGUAAAUCACAAAAAUGUUUACUUGGGACUGACACAUGGUGAAAUUAUAUCUUCUUUUCUUAAAAUUUCACUUCCAUGGAUGCAGUUCUAUCUGUUCCUCUAUCAAAACAUGACAAUGCAUCUUGGUACUUUUAAGUGUAAUAAAAAUUUGUGGCUUUUAAUUUGCUCUGUUAAUUGCGUUCUUAUAGUUGUGGCCUCUUGAUUUUGUAGAGGAGAGAAUGCCAGAAUGAAUGAACUGGCAAUUUAUAAAGUUUCAUUUCUGGAAUGCCAACAAUCCUCCUGGUACAAUUUAAAAGCCAGAGUACAAAUAAUAUUAUGAAUAUAGCAACAUAAUAAUCUAAUCUAAGUCAAACAGGUUUUUAAAAAAUCACUUCAGGAUUUUUUUUCACCUUGGCGGUUUGUCACAUUUAAAAAUACUGCAAAUGGUUCAAAUCAAGGUUGUUUUCUGACACAGUGCCAGUAUUUGUGUAAAAUCAACUGAACAAGAUGCCUUGCUGAGGACUAGUGGUGAGCUCAGGAAUAACAAUGCCAUUGAAGGAGAAAGAUUGUCAAGGGGGCUUUGUUUCCGUGAUGCAAUUAUGCAUUAAAAAUUUUAAUACUAGAAAUGAAUACAACUCAUAGUUACUAACGUUUUGUGGGACAAAAGACUGAGGUGUGACUCUGCAAAAAGACCAGCUGCAAGCUAAGCAGCUGCAAACAAUGGCAUGCCCCGGUGUGGAGAGAAAGCAAGAAGGGAGGUCUGGGGAUGGUGAGAGGCACUGAAAGGGUUUCCUCUGCCUAACAGGGAUGCAGAGUACUGCCAGGCCAAGCACCGGUCUUUGUGUUGAUUCAAAAUAAAAGCCUCCAAAGUAACCAUUACUGAUUUUUGGUUUGGUGAAAAUACAUGUAGGUUCUGUUGCACACUCUGCUAAAGUGUGUCUCUGUAGUGAAGAAUGCUUGUGACAGGCUGGAGUGGAUCCUCUCCAGGAUGGGGAGAUGAUUCCUUCCCUGACAGUAAUGGCACAGGCUUAGCUGGGAGAUUUGGGAGGGUAAAAGGAACUAGAGUGGGUGUGAGAGAUGUGGGAUGAGCCUGAAAUGGGAGUGCAGGUGGGGAGAGGAGGAGCAGGGGCCUUCUGCAGCCAGGAGCUGACCCAAAGCCAGACUUCAGAGGUGAAAGGUAAGAAGGCAGCUUCCCAGGGACCCUGAGGAGACCUGGCAACCACAGAAGGGGCCUGGGGGAAAUGAUCCACUCUUCACCAACACAGCUGUAAGGGGACCUAUUUAAUCCAACCUUUGAAAAUCAGGAUGGCCCAAUGGCUCUGCAGUUCCUCUUCUGAGAGCCACCCUCUUGCAAAUUAUUAUUUCAUAUUCUAGUGGGUCUAGAUUGGAAGUAUCUGGUAUUUUUUUGGCAUGGGAGAGCCCUUUUUGCUUUAAAAACAUUCAGCUUCAGUGAACUGGCUGGGGAUCUUGUCACACCAUGUUUCUGUCACAUCAUAACACUGCUUUCCAUGUCAGCUUGUACCAAAUGACAGGCUCAUAGAGAAAAAGGACUUUCCUCAUUCUGAGAUUUUGCUGGUACAGGUUUACAUUUCCCUCUAAAAGAUGGUACUGAGCCAUUUCCAGCUAUAGUGUGGACUGAACACAUAAUGAAUUUGUAUUUCCUUCAAAGCAAGCUGUGCAGAUGAAGCAGGACCUGCUAGUCCAGUCAGGAUCCAUUAGCAACAAAGAUUACAUAUUUCAAUGUUCACUCUGUUGUUUUGACUGCAGGAACAAGGAGAAACAGUUCUUAAUUACUAAUAAUUCUUUGCAUGCAUAAUUGACGGACUAUUUUGUUCAAAUAGUUGGAGCUUGCAGUUUUUAAAGUGUUCCAUGUACAAAGUAUUCAUCUUUUCUAGUAGAAAUGAAAAACUUUGUUACUGUUUUGUUAAGAGAAUCUUUCUUGUGUAAGGUAGAACGUCUCAUGAGGGAAGUAAAAACUAAGAAUGUAGUUUGUUUUUAAUCCUCUAAAAAAUGCUGCUUUAUACAUACAGAUAAAUGUUCCUGAAUUACCCCAGACAUAUAUGCUAGAAGCUAGGAAGAGAAUCAGGCCCAGAGAUGUUAGAAACUGGAGAAUUCAAAGGGAAAGAUAAUUGUAUUUGGGAACCUCCCAGUAUCUAGCAGCAAGGAGGACGUUACAGAGUAAUGUGGGACUGUUCAUCAGAUAAAAUAAUGACUUAUUUCAUUAGGAUUUUUAGGAUUAGGAGAACAGACUACUUUGUUGUCAUAAGUGUCAUGGUAUCCCAGGAUAAAUAUCAGCUAGGUUGAUCUAAGACAGUGGUAAUACCACUGAUCUCUCUGGUAACCAGUGAUAGGACCUAAGGGAAUGGCACAAAGCUGCAACAGGUGAGGUUCAGGCUGGAUAUCAGAAAAAGAUUCUUCAACGAGAGUGUGGUUAGGGACUGGAACAGGCUCCUCAGGACAGUGGUCAUGGCACUGAGCCUGCCAUAGUUCAAGAAGCGUUUGGACAAUGCUCUCAGAUUCUGUGAUUCAACGAUACUCAUGUCCACGAUACAAAGAAACUACUUGCACUGAGUGUUACUCUGAAGUGAAAAAUCGCCAUCAACUGCAAGCUACGUAAUGCAUUAGUUAUUAAUAAAAACACAUCAGACAAAUUGAGCACUCUCUUGAGCUCUGAAAGCAAAAUAUGAGACCUGUGGGAAAAACUUCACUUUUUACUUUUUUUUUUUUUUCUUCAGCUGUUUUUCCACUCAUUGAGUUUGAGGGAGGGAAAGGUGAAUUAAUAGGCAUAGCUCCUGUUUCUGCCAGAAAUCUUUGUAUGACCAGUAAUUGAAUACCUAAUUAUCCAAUUACAAAAGUGUAGAUGAAGGGUGAGAAUGUGCCUGAAACUGCUUUUUCAGUUUAGGAAGGCUUAAAGGGGUAUUAUUAUAAGCUAGUCUAAGCAGCACAACACAGGCUGCACAAGUGUCGCACAAUGAGCAACUUGUUACUGAAAAUGCACAGAUGUCUUCAGGAAGAUGUCCAAUCCAAUUUAUUUGGCAAUGGAGAACACACCCACAGUAAUGCCACAGGGCUGAUCUGGUUCUUGGUAAGUGGUCUUUAGAUGAGCACUUUACCAUACAGAGCAAGUGUUGCAGACUACAGAAAUUCUUUGAAGGAUUGCUAAGUCUACUUAUUGAGGAAGGGUGUGAUGAAUGUAGCAGUUCUGGGGUAAUACUAAAGAAAAAUGGAUUUAUAGGACAUACCACACACACAGAAAAAUAUUCUGUGCCUUAGCCUGAAAUGACUGCAUCUGAAAAUCUGAAAAAGAUGGAGAACAUCAUCAAAAGCAAACAGAAAGUGGAACUUGGGAGAGCUAGAAGUAAGUUGGAGUACUUGGGGAAGAAAAGGUAUCUGCUGCAGCCCUUGAGAGAAACUGAUCUGGGGGAAAAGAUAAUUUCAGACCAUAAAGCAGCAGUGUUAGCAAUGAUUUGCUGGCAUAGCUACAUGGCACUAGGCUAACCUUUUGUUUGCAGAACAAUGCUCACUGAGGGUCAGAUUAAACACUGUUUUUUAGCCAGGUUUAUAGGAUAUUACAAGAAAUCAAUAGGUUAAUACAGAAAAACAUCUGGAUACACAAAGGAGUGAAGACAAGAAGCUGUAAAGGUGUGGCAAAGGACUUGUAGCUGUCUUAGAACAGCAGUGUAGGGAAAGGUAGUGACUUGGAAAAAAAUGCUUCAGAGCUGGAACACAAGAGGGUUGAUGGACUUCUUUACUAACUUCAGAAAUUUAAGCUGGAUCUAACUGACACAUAAAACACAGGAGUGGAAGCAAACUGUCUGUCAAGUUAGCCCAGUUUUAAGCUCUUUUUGAUUUGCAGGAGUAAUUCUAAGAGACACUGGGGUAGUAGUUCAAAACAUCAAGCACUCUGUGACAAGGCUGAGAAUGAGGUUAGAUAACGGGCCGUUUUUUUGUUUUUUUUUUUUUUAAGGGAGUAAAAGCAAGCACUACAAAUGUUAAAGGUAAGUGAGAUGGUGCCCACCCCAAAGAACAUACUGAAAAUAAUGAAGCUGUUCUCAGCAUCAUUCUUGUUAAACAUCAGGGUGAAAGAAUCUUUCACUAAAAGUCCUGAAGAUGGUUGAGCUGUUUAAGGCAGGGCAUAGGGUUUGCAGAAUUUGAGGUAAAUUUCUGGCACUUCUCAUUAGGAAUAUAUAAAACUGGCACUGGGGAUCAACUUCUCACAUUGCUUUAGAGAAUUUGGACAAGGUAGGUCUGUACUUACCUUAGUCUGCCUAUGAAGUCAAGAAGGUUAGGUGGGAGCAUUUCCAGAAGACAGUUGAGCUCUUAAGUGAAGCGCAUAUCAAUUUUCAGUAACUACACUGAAAGUUCACAGUGCUUCAAGUCCCAGUUUUGAUUCAUAUUUAUUUUGCCAGAAGGUAGAUGGGAUGAACUAAAGUCUAGCUACCCCAUCUUUCUUCUACCCAGUCUUAUCAAUGGGAGACUUCGUUGGAUUUCAUUGUCAGAAGGAUCAGUAAUUAAAUAAUGUCCUUUUCUACAAGGAGUAUAUUUUUAAAAUACGCCUUCACAGAAAGCAAGCUGAGUGAAAUAAUAUAAUCCAUAAACAGAGAGCUAAACCUAAAUGUACAGGAAGCUACCAGAUUCCCUUUGAAUGAAAAAAAACAAUUAAACGGUCCUAGAGGCUACUGAUGAAAAGUGGGUCUUCACACCUAGAAAAAAAUAAAGUGUGUAAAAAAUUACAACCUUGUAGUUUCAUGAUCAAACCUUGGCCUACUUUUGACACAAAGCCAGUUGCCUGGGCACACCCUCUGUGUGUUACUUUCCUAAGAUAGGAAUUGGUGUUGUCAAAGAAUUAAAUGGAUGUGAGAAUAGCCUUCUACAAGGUAAACUGAGACUUAAAACCCAUUGUUGCCCUAAAGAUAUUGAAUAAUCAGAUCCUUUGAAGUGUAAAAACCAGAAAGAUUUUCACAACUGAUACUUUUGUCUUGGUGUCUUUGGCAUAUUGUCACACUUUUUCUUGUAAAAGAUGUUUGGGAUGCCUGACAGAAGCAAGUGUACCCCUUCAGGUUUGCAAAUGACGUGUUAUAUACUUGUGCAAAAAUUUUUAUGAACUGAAAUGUUACAAUUGCAUAAAGGAAACAGAGCCCUACCCUUAUCCUUAUCUGGGAUCAGAAAGGAAAUAUAAACAAGGACGGAACAUGUAUGUGAGCACACAAACCUGUGGAAGAGUCAGACACAGCUCUCAGACCACCCAAUGCUCGGUCUUCCCCUUACCUGCAAGAUAAUCUCUUAUUUGUCACAUUAUUUUCUUUUCUGGCUCAUUACUAAUCACAUAACUUUCCCAAGUGAUACUUAGACAAAUUUUUCCACCUUCACAUUGCAACUUUCUCAUUCUAAUUGUUAAGCUAGCACACAAACAAAAUAGGUGCUGCAUUCUUUUAAACAAUCCCUUCUGUAUUAGAGGGCAUGUACAGUUCACAGACUUUGUUUUCAGCUCAAGAUUGUAGAUACUGGAAUAGAUUGAUAUCGGUACAGCACACUGCAGAUAAAGCUAGAGGUCUGAUUCCACAGCCAGGGGAUCCACUCUAAGAAAAACUGUGGAAAAGGACAGUGUCUCUCCCCAAGUAAAAAUUCAGAGCAGACUUCUAAUGUUCUCCUCUUUGCAAACACCAAUAAUCAUUAACAAAAGCCCAACAAAAAUUUAGCCAAACUACAUUAAGGUAGUACUGGGAAUUGAGCUUUUCAAGCCAUAAACUGAUAGGCAAGUAAGUCAGAGCUCACGUAAUGGCAACCCAUCUCAGUUAACACCAGUGACAUGAUAAUGUGUCUUCAGACUUGUUUACCUGACACAGUGCAGUAUCUCUGGCAUAUAUUUAUUUUAGUAAUAUGGGGCAGUUCUUCCUGGUGUGCUUUCUCAGAACUGCUCAGCAUAUGGAGUACCAUCAUCUCCUGAUAAGAACAGAAUGGCUACAAGCUGAAACCAGUUGAUCCCCGGCCUGACUGGCU
Molecule: non-coding RNA, 9118 nt
Organism: Anas platyrhynchos (mallard)
Lineage: Eukaryota; Metazoa; Chordata; Aves; Anseriformes; Anatidae
Source: RefSeq, a predicted model, not a curated record